This 458-nucleotide ribosomal RNA is filed under the name uncultured bacterium. Its description in RNAcentral is "SSU rRNA". It matches the Rfam family "Bacterial small subunit ribosomal RNA", at positions 26 to 518 of the family's 1533-position model. The record is from RNAcentral.
AGAAUCAACGCUGGCGGCGUGCCUAACACAUGCAAGUCGCACGAGAAAGGGUAGCAAUACCUGAGUACAGUGGCGCACGGGUGAGUAACACGUGAAUAAUCUACCUCCGAGUGGGGAAUAACUGAGAGAAAUCUUAGCUAAUACCGCAUAACACUUACGAGUCAAAGCAGCAAUGCGCUUGGAGAGGAGUUCGCGGCAGAUUAGUUAGUUGGCGGGGUAAUGGCCCACCAAGACGAUGAUCUGUAUCCGGCCUGAGAGGGCGCACGGACACACUGGAACUGAAACACGGUCCAGACUCCUACGGGAGGCAGCAGUGGGGAAUUUUUGCGCAAUGGGGGAAACCCUGACGCAGCAACGCCGCGUGGAGGAUGAAAUCCCUUGGGAUGUAAACUCUUUCGAUCGGGAAGAUAAUGACGGUACCGAGAGAAGAGCCCCGGCUAACUUCGCGCCAGCGCCGC